UACGUAGGGUCCGAGCGUUGUCCGGAGUGACUGGGCGUAAAGCGCGCGCAGGCGGCUGAGCAGGCGUCACGUGAAAGCCCCGGGCUUAACCCGGGAGGGUCGUGGCGAACCGCUCGGCUUGAGGCCGGUAGAGGUGGGUGGAACUCCUGGUGGAGUGGUGAAAUGCGUAGAGAUCAGGAAGAACACCCGUGGCGAAGGCGGCCCACUGGGCCGGACCUGACGCUGAGGCGCGAAGGCGUGGGGAGCGAACGGGAUUAGAUACCCCGGUAGUCCACGCAGUAAACGAUGUCGACUCGGUGUGGGCGGUAUUGACCCCGUCCGUGCCACAGCUAACGCGACAAGUCGACCGCCUGGGGAGUACGGCCGCAAGGCUAAA
Molecule: ribosomal RNA, 376 nt
Filed under: uncultured bacterium
Lineage: Bacteria
Description: bacterial SSU rRNA
Rfam family: Bacterial small subunit ribosomal RNA
Source: RNAcentral